CUACGGGCGGCUGCAGUGAGGAAUUUUGCGCAAUGGGGGAAACCCUGACGCAGCAACGCCGCGUGAGUGAUGAAGGCCUUCGGGUCGUAAAGCUCUGUCAAGUGGGAAGAACCUAUCCAAGGGUAAUAUUCUUGGGUACUGACGGUACCACUGAAGGAAGCACCGGCUAACUCCGUGCCAGCAGCCGCGGUAAUACGGGGGGUGCAAGCGUUAUUCGGAAUUAUUGGGCGUAAAGGGCGCGUAGGCGGUUUUGUUAGUCAGAUGUGAAAGCCCGGGGCUCAACCCCGGAAGUGCAUUUGAUACUGCAAGACUUGAGUAUGGGAGAGGGAAGUGGAGUUCCUGGUGUAGAGGUGAAAUUCGUAGAUAUCAGGAGGAACAUCUGUGGCGAAGGCGACUUCCUGGACCAAUACUGACGCUAAGGCGCGAAGGCGUGGGUAGCAAACAGGAUUAGAUACCCUGGUAGUC
Molecule: ribosomal RNA, 465 nt
Filed under: uncultured bacterium
Lineage: Bacteria
Description: partial 16S ribosomal RNA
Rfam family: Bacterial small subunit ribosomal RNA
Source: RNAcentral